CUAAUACAUGCAAGUCGAGCGGACAGAUGGGAGCUUGCUCCCUGAUGUUAGCGGCGGACGGGUGAGUAACACGUGGGUAACCUGCCUGUAAGACUGGGAUAACUCCGGGAAACCGGGGCUAAUACCGGAUGGUUGUUUGAACCGCAUGGUUCAAACAUAAAAGGUGGCUUCGGCUACCACUUACAGAUGGACCCGCGGCGCAUUAGCUAGUUGGUGAGGUAACGGCUCACCAAGGCAACGAUGCGUAGCCGACCUGAGAGGGUGAUCGGCCACACUGGGACUGAGACACGGCCCAGACUCCUACGGGAGGCAGCAGUAGGGAAUCUUCCGCAAUGGACGAAAGUCUGACGGAGCAACGCCGCGUGAGUGAUGAAGGUUUUCGGAUCGUAAAGCUCUGUUGUUAGGGAAGAACAAGUACCGUUCGAAUAGGGCGGUACCUUGACGGUACCUAACCAGAAAGCCACGGCUAACUACGUGCCAGCAGCGGGGGUU
This 492-nucleotide ribosomal RNA is filed under the name Bacillus subtilis. RNAcentral's name for it is "bacterial SSU rRNA". It matches the Rfam family "Bacterial small subunit ribosomal RNA", at positions 48 to 522 of the family's 1533-position model. The record is from RNAcentral. Lineage: Bacteria; Bacillati; Bacillota; Bacilli; Caryophanales; Bacillaceae.